This is a long non-coding RNA of Neofelis nebulosa (Clouded leopard), 453 nucleotides long. RefSeq lists it as uncharacterized. The transcript has 3 exons. The record is from RefSeq and is a predicted model, not a curated record. Lineage: Eukaryota; Metazoa; Chordata; Mammalia; Carnivora; Felidae.
GAAGUGGAGCGAGGCUGGAAGCAAGUGGAGGACGGAUAGGAAGAAAUCAAUGGCGAAGUAAAUACAGGUACCAGCGUUGUUCCCUGGUGCUGUGGUGAUUGUCUUGGUACCCAAAGAAAAUGACCAGCUGACGAUGGGAACCAGUCAAGCUUCGGGGGCGAAAUCACAACAUCAACCAUGGUUCUCCUCAGUGAAGAUUCAAGCAGCUGAACGCCAAUACCUUAGGCAUUGACCUAAGGUAGUCUGCUGCCACCACAGGAAGAGCACUAACCUGGGAGUCCAACAGAUCUAUGUUCAAAUCCCACCUCUGCCACUUACUGGCCUAGUGGCUGCAGGAAGUGUUCAUCCCUUCUCGGAGAUGCAGUUUCUUCAUCUGUAGAAUGGAAGUAUCGAUACUUCCUCUUCCUGCCUUGCAUGGCUCUUGUGAUAAGAAAAUGAGAUCAUCUACAUAAA